RNAcentral lists this non-coding RNA (29 nucleotides) under Mus musculus (house mouse). The record is from RNAcentral. Lineage: Eukaryota; Metazoa; Chordata; Mammalia; Rodentia; Muridae.
UUCCAGAUAUGAGGCCGUUCACUGCCACC